RNAcentral lists this ribosomal RNA (440 nucleotides) under Yersinia frederiksenii. RNAcentral describes it as "bacterial SSU rRNA". It matches the Rfam family "Bacterial small subunit ribosomal RNA", at positions 37 to 472 of the family's 1533-position model. Lineage: Bacteria; Pseudomonadati; Pseudomonadota; Gammaproteobacteria; Enterobacterales; Yersiniaceae. The record is from RNAcentral.
UGGCGGCAGGCCUAACACAUGCAAGUCGAGCGGCAGCGGAAAGUAGCUUGCUACUUUGCCGGCGAGCGGCGGACGGGUGAGUAAUGUCUGGGAAACUGCCUGAUGGAGGGGGAUAACUACUGGAAACGGUAGCUAAUACCGCAUGACCUCGAAAGAGCAAAGUGGGGGACCUUCGGGCCUCACGCCAUCGGAUGUGCCCAGAUGGGAUUAGCUAGUAGGUGGGGUAAUGGCUCACCUAGGCGACGAUCCCUAGCUGGUCUGAGAGGAUGACCAGCCACACUGGAACUGAGACACGGUCCAGACUCCUACGGGAGGCAGCAGUGGGGAAUAUUGCACAAUGGGCGCAAGCCUGAUGCAGCCAUGCCGCGUGUGUGAAGAAGGCCUUCGGGUUGUAAAGCACUUUCAGCGAGGAGGAAGGCAUUUCACUUAAUACGUGAAGU